GCAAGUCGAGGGGCAGCAGAUUCUUCGGGAUGCAGGCGACCGGCGCACGGGUGCGUAACACGUAUACAACCUACCCUUCAGAGGGGGAUAGCCCAGAGAAAUUUGGAUUAAUACCCCAUGGUUUCAUCGAAUCGCAUGGUUUGAUGAAUAAACGUUGCGGCGCUGAAGGAUGGGUAUGCGUCUGAUUAGCUAGUUGGUGAGGUAACGGCUCACCAAGGCUACGAUGAGUAGCUGGUCUGAGAGGAUGAUC
Molecule: ribosomal RNA, 250 nt
Filed under: uncultured bacterium
Lineage: Bacteria
Description: partial 16S ribosomal RNA
Rfam family: Bacterial small subunit ribosomal RNA
Source: RNAcentral